This is a long non-coding RNA of Eucalyptus grandis, 180 nucleotides long. RefSeq lists it as uncharacterized. NCBI's taxonomy places the organism in Eukaryota, Viridiplantae, Streptophyta, Magnoliopsida, Myrtales, Myrtaceae. The transcript has 3 exons. The record is from RefSeq and is a predicted model, not a curated record.
UACUUGCAGAAAGAAUCCAGGGUGACUCUGAUAAUGUCACUCGCUUUCUUGUGCUAGCAAGAGAUCCCAUUAUACCAAGGACUGACAAACCUUUUAAGACAAGUAUUGUCUUCACCUUGGAAGAAGGCCCUGGUGUGUUAUUUAAAGCCUUGGCUGUAUUUUUCCUUGAGAGGCAUAAAU